GUGCCAGCAGCCGCGGUAAUACGAAGGGUGCAAGCGUUACUCGGAAUUACUGGGCGUAAAGCGUGCGUAGGUGGUUCGUUAAGUCUGAUGUGAAAGCCCUGGGCUCAACCUGGGAAUGGCAUUGGAUACUGGCGACCUAGAGUGCGGUAGAGGGUGGCGGAAUUCCCGGUGUAGCAGUGAAAUGCGUAGAUAUCGGGAGGAACAUCCGUGGCGAAGGCGGCCACCUGGACCAGCACUGACACUGAGGCACGAAAGCGUGGGGAGCAAACAGGAUUAGAAACCCUCGUAGUCC
This 292-nucleotide ribosomal RNA is filed under the name uncultured bacterium. RNAcentral describes it as "partial 16S ribosomal RNA". It matches the Rfam family "Bacterial small subunit ribosomal RNA", at positions 505 to 796 of the family's 1533-position model. The record is from RNAcentral.